GACGAACGCUGGCGGCGUGCUUAACACAUGCAAGUCGAACGAUGAAGCCCUUCGGGGUGGAUUAGUGGCGAACGGGUGAGUAACACGUGGGCAAUCUGCCCUUCACUCUGGGACAAGCCCUGGAAACGGGGUCUAAUACCGGAUAACACUCUGUCCCGCAUGGGACGGGGUUAAAAGCUCCGGCGGUGAAGGAUGAGCCCGCGGCCUAUCAGCUUGUUGGUGGGGUAAUGGCCUACCAAGGCGACGACGGGUAGCCGGCCUGAGAGGGCGACCGGCCACACUGGGACUGAGACACGGCCCAGACUCCUACGGGAGGCAGCAGUGGGGAAUAUUGCACAAUGGGCGAAAGCCUGAUGCAGCGACGCCGCGUGAGGGAUGACGGCCUUCGGGUUGUAAACCUCUUUCAGCAGGGAAGAAGCGAAAGUGACGGUACCUGCAGAAGAAGCGCCGGCUAACUACGUGCCAGCAGCCGCGGUAAUACGUAGGGCGCAAGCGUUGUCCGGAAUUAUUGGGCGUAAAGAGCUCGUAGGCGGCUUGUCACGUCGGAUGUGAAAGCCCGGGGCUUAACCCCGGGUCUGCAUUCGAUACGGGCUAGCUAGAGUGUGGUAGGGGAGAUCGGAAUUCCUGGUGUAGCGGUGAAAUGCGCAGAUAUCAGGAGGAACACCGGUGGCGAAGGCGGAUCUCUGGGCCAUUACUGACGCUGAGGAGCGAAAGCGUGGGGAGCGAACAGGAUUAGAUACCCUGGUAGUCCACGCCGUAAACGUUGGGAACUAGGUGUUGGCGACAUUCCACGUCGUCGGUGCCGCAGCUAACGCAUUAAGUUCCCCGCCUGGGGAGUACGGCCGCAAGGCUAAAGCUCAAAGGAAUUGACGGGGGCCCGCACAAGCAGCGGAGCAUGUGGCUUAAUUCGACGCAACGCGAAGAACCUUACCAAGGCUUGACAUAUACCGGAAAGCAUCAGAGAUGGUGCCUCCCUUGUGGUCGGUAUACAGGUGGUGCAUGGCUGUCGUCAGCUCGUGUCGUGAGAUGUUGGGUUAAGUCCCGCAACGAGCGCAACCCUUGUUCUGUGUUGCCAGCAUGCCCUUCGGGGUGAUGGGGACUCACAGGAGACUGCCGGGGUCAACUCGGAGGAAGGUGGGGACGACGUCAAGUCAUCAUGCCCCUUAUGUCUUGGGCUGCACACGUGCUACAAUGGCCGGUACAAUGAGCUGCGAUGCCGCGAGGCGGAGCGAAUCUCAAAAAGCCGGUCUCAGUUCGGAUUGGGGUCUGCAACUCGACCCCAUGAAGUCGGAGUUGCUAGUAAUCGCAGAUCAGCAUUGCUGCGGUGAAUACGUUCCCGGGCCUUGUACACACCGCCCGUCACGUCACGAAAGUCGGUAACACCCGAAGCCGGUGGCCCAACCCCUUGUGGGAGGGAGCUGUCGAAGGUGGGACUGGCGAUUGGGACG
This 1448-nucleotide ribosomal RNA is filed under the name Streptomyces sp. HZ03. RNAcentral's name for it is "bacterial SSU rRNA". It matches the Rfam family "Bacterial small subunit ribosomal RNA". The record is from RNAcentral. Lineage: Bacteria; Bacillati; Actinomycetota; Actinomycetes; Kitasatosporales; Streptomycetaceae.